AGCUAGUUGUAUUAUUAGUUAAUGCAAGAUCGACUACGUCGACUAAAGUUCUAGGUAGAAUAAUGAUGAUGACAAUUUUUUACCUAUAUGUCUUGACCAAGUCUCGUGCCAGCAGUCGCGGUAAUACGUGGAAGACUAGUGUUAUUCAUCUUUAUUAGGUUUAAAGGGUACCUAGACGGUAUUUCUAGCCCAAAAUAGGGUACGGAUUUACUAGAGUUUUAUGUGAGGAGGGGAGUACUCGUGGAGUAGAGAUGAAAUUUUGUUAUACUAUGAGGUAACUGGUGGCGGCGAAAGCAACCUUCUAUGUAUAAACUGACGUUGAGGGACGAAGGCUUGGGUAGCAAAUAGGAUUAGAUACCCUAGUAGUCCAAGCAGACAAUUCUGAAUGCCAUAGAUUAGAUUUUUUUUGAUCUAUAAAUGAAAGUGUAAGCAUUCCACCUUAGGAGUAAUGUGGCAACACAGGAACUGAAAUCAUUAGACCGUUUCUGAAACCAGUAGUGAAGUAUGUUAUUUAAUUUGAUGGUCCACAAAAAACCUUACCACAACUUGAAUAUUUUUUAAUUAAUACAAGCGUUGCACGGCUGUCUUCAGUUAAUGUCGUGAGAUUUUGGUUAACUCCAUUAAUUAACGUAAACCCUUACUUUAUUUAUUUUUUUUU
RNAcentral lists this ribosomal RNA (658 nucleotides) under Acarospora strigata. Its description in RNAcentral is "partial small subunit ribosomal RNA". It matches the Rfam family "Bacterial small subunit ribosomal RNA", at positions 380 to 1126 of the family's 1533-position model. Lineage: Eukaryota; Fungi; Ascomycota; Lecanoromycetes; Acarosporales; Acarosporaceae. The record is from RNAcentral.